GCAGAGAUCAAAGAAGCAGUAAAGUGCAAAAUAAAGAAAAUAGGAAGAGCUACGUAGAUUAAGUGGACUGGCACAGACUAACCCCUUCUGUCAGCAACUGGUUCUACAAAUCUGAAGUAUCAAAAUUCCCCUUCAUCUUAAAUUUGCUUGGAAGAAAAAUUUGUCAGCCCACUCAAAGCCAGGACUGAAAUACCUACAGCUGGCUCCCUUGGACUGAACUUGGACCCCUGCUGGACAAUGUCAUGCAGUGGAUUUCGGGAUGAGGAUCAGGGUCAGUUCGGCUUCUUCCUCAGUGUCCUGUGUUCAGCCUCUGGAACCGCCGUGGAGGAAUCCAUCCCUGCGAUCCUAGCUUUGCCGCCCCCCGCCCAAGCUAAAGCUGCCUUCGACUUUUUGGUUCCCUUAAGGGCUGAAGAUACACAAAUAAGAUAACUUUCCUCCUUCCCCAUGAUAAUAUUUUAAUAAUGAAGCCACGC
Lonchura striata (white-rumped munia) is the source of this 473-nucleotide non-coding RNA. The record is from RefSeq and is a predicted model, not a curated record. Lineage: Eukaryota; Metazoa; Chordata; Aves; Passeriformes; Estrildidae.